This 497-nucleotide ribosomal RNA is filed under the name uncultured bacterium. Its description in RNAcentral is "partial 16S ribosomal RNA". It matches the Rfam family "Bacterial small subunit ribosomal RNA", at positions 28 to 507 of the family's 1533-position model. The record is from RNAcentral.
GAUGAACGCUGGCGGCGUGCCUAAUACAUGCAAGUCGAGCGAACAGACGAGGAGCUUGCUCCUCUGACGUCAGCGGCGGACGGGUGAGUAACACGUGGAUAACCUACCUAUAAGACUGGGAUAACUUCGGGAAACCGGAGCUAAUACCGGAUAAUAUAUUGAACCGCAUGGUUCAAUAGUGAAAGACGGUUUUGCUGUCACUUAUAGAUGGAUCCGCGCCGCAUUAGCUAGUUGGUAAGGUAACGGCUCACCAAGGCAACGAUGCGUAGCCGACCUGAGAGGGUGAUCGGCCACACUGGAACUGAGACACGGUCCAGACUCCUACGGGAGGCAGCAGUAGGGAAUCUUCCGCAAUGGGCGAAAGCCUGACGGAGCAACGCCGCGUGAGUGAUGAAGGUCUUCGGAUCGUAAAACUCUGUUAUUAGGGAAGAACAAAUGUGUAAGUAACUAUGCACGUCUUGACGGUACCUAAUCAGAAAGCCACGGCUAACUACGUG